CCCAGGAUGCAGUCCGCAGCGCCCGCUCUCUUGUGCACAGUGGUGGCCUUCAUCCUCUUUGGUUCCAGCAAUAUGCAGAGUGUCACACAAUCUCCAAGUUCAGUACAAAGACCAGAGGGAGAAUCUGUGACCUUGGACUGCCGUUUCACACUCAGCUAUACUUAUUAUAUGAUGAGCUGGUUUCAACAGCUUUCCAAUGGAAAGAUGACUGAGAUCAUUAAUCUUUAUUCUGCUGGCAUGAGCACUAGGAAAGAACGAUAUUCACAUCAGAGAGGAAACAAAGCUGGAAGUCUCACCAUCACAGGCUUGAUGCCUACAGACUCAGCCACCUAUUUCUGUGCUGUUGGAGAAGCUCCACGGUGAGAGGAGUGACAAGAGAGCCUGGACUUAGCAUGAAUCAGCCACCUGCUCCAGGCUUAGGAGAAAACAACCCGCAAGAAGAAAAAAGUAGACAGAAGGCAGGGUGGGGGGCACUGAUGGAUCUAGAGUGGAAGCUGCCAAACGGUCCAGCAACAAUCUUCCCACAACUGGUUCAAAGAAACAGUUGUGAUUACAAGAUCCCAGCUUCAACAGUACAUUCACCUCGAAAUCUAGUGCCUAAAGCUGAUCACAUUGCAUUGGGCUCCACACAGUGCAUGAAGCCUGCUUGGGAUUCUCUCUCCUCUCUCUCUCUCUCUCUCUCUCUCUCUCU
Suricata suricatta (meerkat) is the source of this 691-nucleotide non-coding RNA. NCBI's taxonomy places the organism in Eukaryota, Metazoa, Chordata, Mammalia, Carnivora, Herpestidae. The record is from the annotation of a RefSeq genome assembly.